RNAcentral lists this ribosomal RNA (411 nucleotides) under uncultured bacterium. RNAcentral describes it as "bacterial SSU rRNA". It matches the Rfam family "Bacterial small subunit ribosomal RNA", at positions 505 to 916 of the family's 1533-position model. The record is from RNAcentral.
GUGUCAGCCGCCGCGGUAAUACGUAGGGUGCAAGCGUUAAUCGGAAUUACUGGGCGUAAAGCGUGCGCAGGCGGUUUUGUAAGACAGAGGUGAAAUCCCCGGGCUCAACCUGGGAACUGCCUUUGUGACUGCAAGGCUGGAGUGCGGCAGAGGGGGAUGGAAUUCCGCGUGUAGCAGUGAAAUGCGUAGAUGUGCGGAGGAACACCGAUGGCGAAGGCAAUCCCCUGGGCCUGCACUGACGCUCAUGCACGAAAGCGUGGGGAGCAAACAGGAUUAGAUACCCUGGUAGUCCACGCCCUAAACGAUGUCAACUGGUUGUUGGGAAUUUAUUUUCUCAGUAACGAAGCUAACGCGUGAAGUUGACCGCCUGGGGAGUACGUGCGCAAGCAUGAAACUUAAAUAAAUUGACGG